Molecule: long non-coding RNA, 781 nt
Organism: Actinia tenebrosa (Australian red waratah sea anemone)
Lineage: Eukaryota; Metazoa; Cnidaria; Anthozoa; Actiniaria; Actiniidae
Source: RefSeq, a predicted model, not a curated record
AUAUACUUCUUCAUGAAAUCUGAGCCCCCAAGCAUUGAAAAUGUUGAACUGUGCCUGCAAUUUUGAGAGAAAUUGGUUCCAUUGGGCAUAAGUUUGCCAUCAUACAGAAAUUCUUUCAAACAGGAUGGUACAAUAUUCGCCAAGCACAAUGAAGAAUAUGAAAUUAGGAAGAAUGGUCAACCAGUGUCUACAGCAUCACCAYCAAAAAGGCAAAGGAAAAAAUAAUUAUUUCACGUUACACUUGAACGCCUCAAAAGAUAAAUUCAAGAGUCAAACGAAAAGAAGGAAGAAAUAAUAUUGUUUGUAUCUUUGUAUCUCAUCUUUUAAUGGUCCAUGUUWAUGUUGCAGUUCAUAGACAUUGUGUUUCUUUAUUCAAAUAUGUUAUUCACUUUUAAAGACCCAUUGCCACKUACYGUGAUGCAUCACAAUUUGUUUACAUUUUGAAUCAUGUCACCACUGAAAAAACAAUUCUAACCUUUUGAAUAAACUCUUAAAAGAAUGUAAAAGAAUCAUUAUUGUGCCUUAGUGCUAUGUAGGAAAAGGAUUURAUAUGACGUUGUUAUUCAAUAUUUGAAUCUUUGAAUUUCAUGGACCACGAAAUUCAUCUGUGACCGCGUGCAUCACGGUAAGUGGCAAUGGGUCUUUAAAUUCAAAUAAAAGAUUAAAUUAGAAAGUACAAAUAGGGAAUAUCAAAUUUAGUAGUUGCUUGUACAGUUACUGUUCAAUGACAGUUGUAACUUCUCUACAAUAAGUCAUAUUUAAUAUUUUUAUGACAUUGUUA